GGUAGCUUGCGCUCCCCGGUCUCGAAGCCCCGACGAGUAGGAGGGUCGCAGCGGUGAGCGUCGAAGGGACUCCGGCGUGAGCCGGCCUGGAGCCGCCGCUGGUGCAGAUCUUGGUGGUAGUAGCAAAUACUCGAGAGAGACCCUAGAGGGCUGAUGUGGAGCAGGGUUCCAUGUGAACAUCAGUUGGACAUGGGUCAGUCGGUCCUAAGUCCAUGGCGAAGGCCAGUUCCUACCGUGCAGGCAAAUGUCAAAACGUGUUGUGUUGGGAGUGCGUGCGGCGAGAGAGCAGUGUUGAACUCUUGGAGCAUAWUAAACCUUCUUCUCCGACACGCCCUCCUCCUCACGUGUGCGUGAUAUGUCCAAAGGAUACUCUUCUGGACGAAAGGGAUUCCGGUAAAUAUUCUGGAACUUGGCUUCGGAGAUGCUCGGUGCCCUCGGUCGGUUACGGCCGGCCUUGGGAGUCACACUGUGGCAUAAACCCCAGUAAUGGGAUCAAAGCCCGCAUCCGUCGGCGGUGGCCCAGGGAAGAGUUUUCUUUUCUGUUUAAGACAUCUUUAGCCCUGGAAGCAACUUGCUAGGAGAGAGGGCUGUGGUACAAGGUAUCACUG
RNAcentral lists this ribosomal RNA (608 nucleotides) under Anaspides clarkei. RNAcentral's name for it is "eukaryotic LSU rRNA". It matches the Rfam family "Eukaryotic large subunit ribosomal RNA", at positions 1359 to 1772 of the family's 3401-position model. Lineage: Eukaryota; Metazoa; Arthropoda; Malacostraca; Anaspidacea; Anaspididae. The record is from RNAcentral.